This 497-nucleotide ribosomal RNA is filed under the name uncultured bacterium. RNAcentral describes it as "partial 16S ribosomal RNA". It matches the Rfam family "Bacterial small subunit ribosomal RNA", at positions 28 to 507 of the family's 1533-position model. The record is from RNAcentral.
GAUGAACGCUGGCGGCGUGCCUAAUACAUGCAAGUCGAGCGAACGGACGAGAAGCUUGCUUCUCUGAUGUUAGCGGCGGACGGGUGAGUAACACGUGGAUAACCUACCUAUAAGACUGGGAUAACUUCGGGAAACCGUAGCUAAUACCGGAUAAUAUUUUGAACCGCAUGGUUCAAAAGUGAAAGACGGUCUUGCUGUCACUUAUAGAUGGAUCCGCGCUGCAUUAGCUAGUUGGUAAGGUAACGGCUUACCAAGGCAACGAUGCAUAGCCGACCUGAGAGGGUGAUCGGCCACACUGGAACUGAGACACGGUCCAGACUCCUACGGGAGGCAGCAGUAGGGAAUCUUCCGCAAUGGGCGAAAGUCUGACGGAGCAACGCCGCGUGAGCGAUGAAGGUCUUCGGAUCGUAAAACUCUGUUAUUAGGGAAGAACAUAUGUGUAAGUAACUGUGCACAUCUUGACGGUACCUAAUCAGAAAGCCACGGCUAACUACGUG